This 256-nucleotide ribosomal RNA is filed under the name uncultured bacterium. RNAcentral's name for it is "partial 16S ribosomal RNA". It matches the Rfam family "Bacterial small subunit ribosomal RNA", at positions 524 to 776 of the family's 1533-position model. The record is from RNAcentral.
UACGGGGGGAGCAAGCGUUGUUCGGAUUUACUGGGCGUAAAGGGCGCGUAGGCGGUCGUGACAAGUCACUUGUGAAAUCUCCGGGCUUAACUCGGAACGGUCAAGUGAUACUGUCGGACUAGAGUACAGAAGGGGCAACUGGAAUUCUCGGUGUAGCGGUGAAAUUCGUAGAUAUUCGCAAGAACACCAGUGGCGAAGGCGGCUCACUGGUCCGGUACUGGACGCUGAGGCACGGAAAGCGUGGGGAGCAAACAGG